AACUUUGCGCAGUGGCGAUAUCGUAACCAAUGAGGUACAACCGAGGUGCGAUUAUUGCACAACAUUCACACUGUAGAUACUUACGGUUAGAAAAAAGUACCCAAAAGUAAAUUCUUUUCACUCAUCUCGGCACUAUAGUG
Molecule: small nuclear RNA, 140 nt
Organism: Ochlerotatus camptorhynchus
Lineage: Eukaryota; Metazoa; Arthropoda; Insecta; Diptera; Culicidae
Product: U4 spliceosomal RNA
Exons: 1
Source: RefSeq, a predicted model, not a curated record